GAUGAGGGUGAGCUGCUGGGCACAUCCUCUUAGCACAUUGCCAGGUAAUCCAUCUGGACCGGCAGCCUUCCUGGGGUUCACUGCUAGGAACACACAUCUGACAUCGUGCUCCGUUACAGUGAAUGGAGCGGUGCAGGAACCAGCAUGUCUUUAUCCUGUCUUCCUUCUCUCACCCCAACCAAUCACAGCAGAUGGCCCCGCCCCUCCCUGAGCCUGGUUCUGCUGGAGGUUUCUUCCUGUUAAAAGGGAGUUUUUCCUUCCCACUGUCGCAUGAUUGUUGGGUUUUUCUCUGUAUCUAUUAUUGUACGAUCUACUGUACAAUAUAAAGCGCCUUGAGGCGACUGUUGUUGUGAUUUGGCGCUGUAUAAAUAAAAUUGAAUUGAAUUGAAUACGUUACUCUCAUUCAGUAACGUAACGAAAUCUAUUCUGUAAUCUGUAGUGGAAUACAUUUUAAAAGUAAACUUUCCAACACUGCUUGUAGAUCUGCCCCUGAACAAUAGGAUUUUACACCUUUAUGAUUAGAACUACAGUAUGGGCAGAAAUCUGUGCCAUCAGAAACUGAAUUUGAAUAGUUACAUUUGAAUUGCUCAGAUUGAACUCAAUUCAAUUCAACUGAAUUCAACUUAUGGUUUCUGAAUGAUCGUCACUAAAUUGAAAUUGAAUUCAAUUGCUUUGAAACUGUAUUAUAUCCUUUAAAAAUGUAGCUCUCGAAUAAUUUCAGUUUCACUUCUCACCAUUCAGUUUCAGUUCCAAAAUUCAGUUAUUUGGAACUUACAUCCGGUUCCGGUUCAAGACUAAUCAAGCGGAGAGUAAUCGAACUUCGUUUUACCAGCGGACCGAAAGUGGCAAUCUUGAGCUGGACCUGGAGUUUCCGAACCAUAAAUUGAAUUUCAAAUUAGACUAAUUCAAAUUCAGUUUUCAAAAGCAUUUAUUCAAGUUACAAUUCAGAUUCAAUCUGAGCCACGUGAUGUUUCUGUUUUAUUAGGAGACUGUCUCACCCCAACAUCGUCAGACUCAUGACAGUUGCCCGCACUGAGUCCUGCUUUUUGUUGGCAACUGAAUACAUUCAUGGUGCAACCCUGCAGCAAGUGCUUCACACAGACAGCUGCUACUCUAAUAGUCUGUGUUAUUGAAGGAUUCAGCACUUCUUUUGGGUUUUUUAAUCCAUUUUUAGACAGCGAUGAGAUCAGCUGCACACUCCACAGAGGCCCAGAGUUACUGUUAAUAUCAAAAAUAUAACGCUGUCCUUUGAGAUUUUAACAUAAGACUGUGAGUGUGAUGGAUCUAAAACUGUUUAAAUCUCUACAGCCUGGUAACAUGGAAACUUUAAAAACAUCAGCAGAAGGUUUCAGUAGUGUAGUGUGAGUUGUUCUUUUUAUUUAAUAAUAGUCUAUAUUAUCUAUAACAGCUACAUUCACCCUGGAGAGAAACUAGUGAGGGAGACCAUCAGGACCAAGCUGGGUUUCUGGGUCCAGAGGUUUGGAGAAACUUCUUCCCGUUCUUUCAUCACAGCUGUCCUGUGCCAGAAGUUCUGUUGACCCACUGAAAGAGGCAUCAUUUCAGAAACACCAGGAACACUGAAGCUCAUCGCAUUGAUCAAGCA
Molecule: long non-coding RNA, 1603 nt
Organism: Astatotilapia calliptera (eastern happy)
Lineage: Eukaryota; Metazoa; Chordata; Actinopteri; Cichliformes; Cichlidae
Source: Ensembl